ACAAGAAAAGGAGAUUAGGGUACAGAUACACACACAGGGAAGAAUGCAUGAAGUCCCUGGGAUAAGGCAGCCAUUUACAAGCCAAGGGAAAGGCCUCAGAAGAAACCAGUCCUGCCGACAGCAUGAUCUCUCAUCCUCAGAACUGGGAGGAAAUACAUCUGUGUUGUUUCAGCCACUCAGUUGGUGAUCUCUAUUACAGCAGUCCUUAGCAAACCGAUUUAGACAGGGCUUUGGAUGCCAACCAGAAGAAGCUGUAGGAAUUGGCACAGAUCCAGAGCAUGGACAAGGACUUACACUUCUGCUGAAGGCAAAGGAGAAACAGCAUUAUCUAAAAAGCAACCAAGACUUCAGGGGAUGAGAACCCACUAACUAUUACAGUCCACGUGUCAGUCGCGUUUCUCAUCGUGAUUAACACCCCAGCCAUUGAUUUGCUCUUCAGUGUCUAGUGAGCAAGGCUACUGUGAAUCUUUCCUCAGGAGGACUGAUGGAGUCACGUUUCUGAGCCUACAGAGCUGAGGGCAAGACCUGAGUAUGGUGAUGUCAAAAUGCCAACCAGCGAGACCUCUUGGUGGCCAGGUGCUUGCUUGUGCUCCUCCUGUGCUUGGACAUCAGACUCCAGGUUCUUCAGCCUUUGGACUCUGGGACUUGCACCAGCGGCUUCCCAAGGGCUCUCAGGCCUUAAGCCACAGACCGACGACUGUACUGUCAGCUUCCCUGGUUUUGAGGCUUUUGGACUUGGACUGAGCCACUACUGGCAUCUCUCUUUCCCAGCUUGCAGACAGUCUAUCAUGGGACUUUGCCUUGUAAUUGUGCUAGCCAAUUCUUCCUAAUAAACUUCCUUUUAUAUA
Molecule: long non-coding RNA, 848 nt
Filed under: Pan troglodytes (chimpanzee)
Lineage: Eukaryota; Metazoa; Chordata; Mammalia; Primates; Hominidae
Description: lincRNA
Source: RNAcentral